GUGGGGAAUCUUAGACAAUGGGGGAAACCCUGAUCUAGCCAUGCCGCGUGAGCGAUGAAGGCCUUAGGGUUGUAAAGCUCUUUCAGCUGGGAAGAUAAUGACUGUACCAGCAGAAGAAGCCCCGGCUAACUCCGUGCCAGCAGCCGCGGUAAUACGGAGGGGGCUAGCGUUGUUCGGAAUUACUGGGCGUAAAGCGCACGUAGGCGGACCGGAAAGUCAGAGGUGAAAUCCCAGGGCUCAACCUUGGAACUGCGUUUGAAACUCCUGGUCUUGAGGUCGAGAGAGGUGAGUGGAAUUCCGAGUGUAGAGGUGAAAUUCGUAGAUAUUCGGAGGAACACCAGUGGCGAAGGCGGCUCACUGGCUCGAUACUGACGCUGAGGUGCGAAAGCGUGGGGAGCAAACAGGAUUAGAUACCCGGGUAGUCC
This 425-nucleotide ribosomal RNA is filed under the name uncultured bacterium. Its description in RNAcentral is "partial 16S ribosomal RNA". It matches the Rfam family "Bacterial small subunit ribosomal RNA", at positions 354 to 796 of the family's 1533-position model. The record is from RNAcentral.